Molecule: long non-coding RNA, 326 nt
Filed under: Medicago truncatula (barrel medic)
Lineage: Eukaryota; Viridiplantae; Streptophyta; Magnoliopsida; Fabales; Fabaceae
Description: long non-coding RNA (MTRU_LNC002075)
Source: RNAcentral
AUUAUCCUCUUUGGUGUUGGUGUUUUCACUUUUUACUAUGUUUUGUUGUGGGAGAGGUUUUGUUAUAGAAGGGAUUGUGAUGUUCAAGGAGGGUUUGCGGUUGCUUAGGUUUGAGGAUGACCUUGGAGGUUUGGAGAAAGUGGUUUGAGGGAUUUGAAAAUGGGUUUGUGUUUGUUUCAUGUUAUUGCUUUGAGAAAUUGAAUUUUGAAUUUCUAGGUUGUUUGAGGACCAAAAAGUGAAUUCUAUGUUUUGUUCCAUACUUCUAAAUUGAGGUUGUUCUGUUUUUUUGAAGAGGAUUAAGACUUAAGAGAGGAGUGUGCUAAAUU